RNAcentral lists this ribosomal RNA (384 nucleotides) under uncultured bacterium. RNAcentral's name for it is "bacterial SSU rRNA". It matches the Rfam family "Bacterial small subunit ribosomal RNA", at positions 30 to 416 of the family's 1533-position model. The record is from RNAcentral.
AUUGAACGCUGGCGGCAUGCCUUACACAUGCAAGUCGAACGGUAACGGGCCUUCGGGUGCCGACGAGUGGCGAACGGGUGAGUAAUGUAUCGGAACGUACCUUUCAGUGGGGGAUAACGUAGCGAAAGUUACGCUAAUACCGCAUAUUCUGUGAGCAGGAAAGCAGGGGAUCGCAAGACCUUGCGCUGAUUGAGCGGCUGAUAUCAGAUUAGCUAGUUGGUGAGGUAAAGGCUCACCAAGGCGACGAUCUGUAGCGGGUCUGAGAGGAUGAUCCGCCACACUGGAACUGAGACACGGUCCAGACUCCUACGGGAGGCAGCAGUGGGGAAUUUUGGACAAUGGGGGCAACCCUGAUCCAGCCAUGCCGCGUGAGUGAAGAAGGCC